GCGGCUGUAGUUCAAUGGUAGAACAACGGCCUUCCAAGCCGUAUAUGGCGGUUCGAUUCCGCUCAGCCGCU
RNAcentral lists this transfer RNA (71 nucleotides) under Candidatus Omnitrophica bacterium 4484_70.1. RNAcentral's name for it is "tRNA-Gly". It matches the Rfam family "tRNA". From Rfam's summary of the family: Transfer RNA (tRNA) molecules are approximately 80 nucleotides in length. The record is from RNAcentral. Lineage: Bacteria; Pseudomonadati; Candidatus Omnitrophota.